RNAcentral lists this ribosomal RNA (478 nucleotides) under uncultured bacterium. RNAcentral's name for it is "partial 16S ribosomal RNA". It matches the Rfam family "Bacterial small subunit ribosomal RNA", at positions 28 to 523 of the family's 1533-position model. The record is from RNAcentral.
GACGAACGCUGGCGGCGUGCUUAACACAUGCAAGUCGAACGGUAAGGCCCUUCGGGGUACACGAGUGGCGAACGGGUGAGUAACACGUGGGUGAUCUGCCCUGCACUUCGGGAUAAGCCUGGGAAACUGGGUCUAAUACCGGAUAGGACCCUGGGAUGCAUGUCCUGGGGUGGAAAGCUGUUGUGGUGGGGGAUGGGCCCGCGGCCUAUCAGCUUGUUGGUGGGGUGAUGGCCUACCAAGGCGACGACGGGUAGCCGGCCUGAGAGGGUGACCGGCCACACUGGGACUGAGAUACGGCCCAGACUCCUACGGGAGGCAGCAGUGGGGAAUAUUGCACAAUGGGCGCAAGCCUGAUGCAGCGACGCCGCGUGAGGGAUGACGGCCUUCGGGUUGUAAACCUCUUUCAGCACCGACGAAGCGCAAGUGACGGUAGGUGCAGAAGAAGGACCGGCCAACUACGUGCCAGCAGCCGCGGUAA